This 371-nucleotide unclassified non-coding RNA is filed under the name soil metagenome. RNAcentral's name for it is "partial contains 5.8S ribosomal RNA, internal transcribed spacer 2, and large subunit ribosomal RNA". The stretch from base 1 to 122 matches the Rfam family "5.8S ribosomal RNA", at positions 35 to 154 of the family's 154-position model. The record is from RNAcentral.
GAUGAAGAACGUAGCGAAAUGCGAUACUUGGUGUGAAUUGCAGAAUCCCGUGAACCAUCGAGUCUUUGAACGCAAGUUGCGCCCGAAGCCAUUUGGUUGAGGGCACGUCUGCCUGGGCGUCACAUAUCGUUGCCCGAUGCCUAUUGCACUGUGAUAGGAAAUUCUAGGGCGAAAGAUGGCUUCCCGUGAGCGUUGUUGCCUUGCGGUUGGUUGAAAAUCGAGUCCUUGGUAGGGUGUGCCAUGAUAGAUGGUGGUCGAGUUUGCACGAAAUAUGGACUCUUUGACCCCACACGCGUCUUUUGACGCUCAUGACGAGACCUCAGGUCAGGCGGGGCUACCCGCUGAGUUUAAGCAUAUCAAUAAGCGGAGGA